This is a long non-coding RNA of Xenia sp. Carnegie-2017, 360 nucleotides long. RefSeq lists it as uncharacterized. The transcript has 2 exons. NCBI's taxonomy places the organism in Eukaryota, Metazoa, Cnidaria, Anthozoa, Malacalcyonacea, Xeniidae. The record is from RefSeq and is a predicted model, not a curated record.
GGUACGCUGGUGGUCUUGCAAAUCACAUCGUUUGAAUGUUGAAAGGAUUAGUUUGUAUAGGUCGUUCUUUGAGUUUUGCGUUUCAACAGCGGCACCGUUCACGGACUCUAUUUUUUCUGCCAUUAUCAUGCUGUCGAUACUCAUGCUGAAGAGUCAAGAUACGUUGUCUAAACGCCAAACGUUUUCGCUUUGAUAGCAUUGAAAUAAAAUUUUCACAUGUAUGGUAAUGUUUAGUCGAGUUGAUUUGACGUACCUUAUCUCUUCGUAUAAUGCAGAAGCAUCAAUUCGUAAAAGUUAAAGAUGAAAUGCAUUCACUAUCGCUAUAAAAAUCAAAUCAAAGCAUACAAUUUUUCAAAAAGA